UAGAGCCGCGUGAGGGAUGAACGCCUCGGUUUGUAAACCUCUUUCAGUAGGGAAGAAGCGAAAGUGACGGUACCUACAGAAGAAGCACCGGCUAACUAUGUGCCAGCAGCCGCGGUAAUACAUAGGGUGCAAGCGUUGUCCGGAAUUAUUGGGCGUAAAGAGCUCGUAGGUGGUUCGAUACGUCGGAUGUGAAAAUCAGGCGCUCAACCCCUGACCUGCAUUCGAUACGGUCGAGCUAGAGUUUGGUACGGGAGACUGGAAUUCCUGGUGUAGCGGUGGAAUGCGCAGAUAUCACGACGAACACCGAUGGCGAAGGCAGGUCUCUGGGCCAAUACUGACACUGAGGAGCGAAAGCGUGGGGAGCGAACAGGAUUAGAUACCCUGCGUAGUCCACGCCGCUAAACGGUGGGCGCUAGUUGUGCGAACCUUCCACGGCUUGUGCGACGCAGCUAACGCAUUAAGCGCCCCGCCUGCGGAGUACGAUCGCA
RNAcentral lists this ribosomal RNA (488 nucleotides) under uncultured bacterium. Its description in RNAcentral is "bacterial SSU rRNA". It matches the Rfam family "Bacterial small subunit ribosomal RNA", at positions 392 to 890 of the family's 1533-position model. The record is from RNAcentral.